This is a long non-coding RNA of Tachyglossus aculeatus (Australian echidna), 754 nucleotides long. RefSeq lists it as uncharacterized. Lineage: Eukaryota; Metazoa; Chordata; Mammalia; Monotremata; Tachyglossidae. The record is from RefSeq and is a predicted model, not a curated record. The transcript is spliced from 5 exons.
UCAACAAUGUGAAGCUAUAGCUACACUGGUAAAAAAUGUGGAGGGAAGUUUUUAGGAAUGUUCUCCCAAUGUUAGAUCUUGAAUUAUUUGGGAACAUCCCUGGAAGGGUGACUUUGUGCGGUGUAACAAUUCACUGCCACAUGGCAAUAUUUUUUGUUUUCCUCAUCUGUUUGAGCAGGGGGCGACUCCUUGCCUGCUGAAAAGAAGCCAAAGAUGUAUUCUGUAAAUUGAAGUCCAGAGAACCCCGUGCUCUGCUUUUUGUCCAGAUGGAGAGCCUGAGAACAUUUUGGAUCACAAGAUGCCUUCAGGAGAAACCCCUUUUCUUCCAGCUUCCAGGCAUAAUCUGUUACAGUACUGGAAGAGCACAGGAUUGACAGUCACCACAUUCCCUCCUAUACAAAGACAAACUCUAUGUACAGACACCGGCAUAUCAACUGGAAAAUGCAUUUGGCUUUGGAAUUCAGACACAUGGGAAGAAGCCACCAACUUGCCCUGCACUCGCUUGUCCGCACAUGAGGAAAUUUUAAAAACGACAUCCAUCUGAGCACGCACAACUCCUUCCGUUCAGCAGUUUGAUUCCUGCCAAUAAAUACUCAGCCCUGAAAAUGAUCCCAGCGGCCUUGUAGCAUCAAGGGAACACAUGCAUCAGCUUCUGAUAGCACAUAUAUCCUGCCUUCCAGAAGCCUGAAGAAAAAAGAAGCCUUGCUGUCCCAACGUUAAAUUCUCUAUACCCUAGAAGCAGUGAAGUUCAGAA